Molecule: long non-coding RNA, 588 nt
Organism: Pomacea canaliculata
Lineage: Eukaryota; Metazoa; Mollusca; Gastropoda; Architaenioglossa; Ampullariidae
Exons: 3
Source: RefSeq, a predicted model, not a curated record
GUUAAGAGAGAGUCGACACACGCCUCGCUUUCCUUCAAUCAAAAUUUGGUCAGGCGACGACAGGUACCUCCAGUCUUACCUCUCCGCCAUGAACGCUGCUGUUUUCUUGCUGCUGUGCGCACUGGCUGCUGGGAGCCUGGCCUAUGACUCCUACAACACCAAGAUCAUCAUCCCUCCCUACUAUCAAAAGAAUGUUGCCGGAUAUGGACUGGUGGGCUUGGGUUAUGGCAGAACUGCACUCGGAAGUGUUUACGGUGGGUACGGUUUAUCAAACUAUGGAAGCGCAGGUCUGUACGGAGGGGGUGCCUAUGGAGGGGGUGCUUAUGGCGGCUAUUCUUACUCAAAAGGCUUCUACUAGAUGAUGGCCAUCCGACUUUUGAUUCAAGUCUCUAAAACUUCACGAUCCAAGAAUACCGAAAAAUAAUAUUUCUACCCGACAGGAAAGGAACCACAAAGAGACAAAUUACACUGACACGUGACUUUGAGCGUGAAGUAAGAAUAAGACCUCCUAACAUCACAUGUUGACACCUGUAUAUUGACCACGAGCAGGCGGUCCUACUUUAGAUGAAAAUAAAGAAGACUUUCUGA